RNAcentral lists this ribosomal RNA (497 nucleotides) under uncultured bacterium. RNAcentral describes it as "partial 16S ribosomal RNA". It matches the Rfam family "Bacterial small subunit ribosomal RNA", at positions 28 to 507 of the family's 1533-position model. The record is from RNAcentral.
GAUGAACGCUGGCGGCGUGCCUAAUACAUGCAAGUCGAGCGAACAGAUGAGGAGCUUGCUCCUCUGACGUUAGCGGCGGACGGGUGAGUAACACGUGGAUAACCUACCUAUAAGACUGGGAUAACUUCGGGAAACCGGAGCUAAUACCGGAUAAUAUAUUGAACCGCAUGGUUCAAUAGUGAAAGACGGUUUUGCUGUCACUUAUAGAUUGAUCCGCGCCGCAUUAGCUAGUUGGUAAGGUAACUGCUUACCAAGGCAACGAUGCGUAGCCGACCUCAGCGGGUCGUCGGCUACACUGGAACUGAGACACGGUCCAGACUCCUGCGGGAGGCAGCAGUAGGGAAUCUUCCGCGAGGGGCGAAAGCCUGACGGUGCAACGCCGCGUGAGUGAUGAAGGUCUUCGGAUCGUAAAACUCUGUUAUUAGGGAAGAACAAAUGUGUAAGUAACUAUGCACGUCUUGACGGUACCGAAUCAGAAAGCCACGGCUAACUACGUG